ACCAGAUAGCGGGAGUCCUUCAGCCGGACAAAGAAGGAGCAGACAAGGGAGACAGCUGUGUGUGACCCAAAGCUCGGAGGCCAGCCCGACCCAGCUAACCCACGGUGCUGAGAUUGAAUUUAGGGGCCUUGCACGUCUGGUCAAUCACUCCAGGACUGAUCUCCAUCCCUGUCUCUGGUUCUUGUAGUUCGCCGGUCUCACUGAGAAGCACAGUCUGCAGGGUCCCGAGUGGCCUUUCUGCCUCUGCCCUGUCCUCUCAGUGAUGGCAGCCUUGAAACUGUCUUCUGAGUUAUGGCAGCUACGCCCACAGGACUGGGUGACCCAGUGGGGCCUGGAGGUGGGGGACCACCACUGUCUGUCCUUGGUCUGAGAGGUGACCACAGCGGCUAAGAUGACCACAGGGGAAAUGGAGCAGGAUCCGAUCAUACAGAAGAGAUCUUCCGAGUCCACGGGAGUGAUGGGAGAUUG
This 468-nucleotide long non-coding RNA is filed under the name Rattus norvegicus (Norway rat). RNAcentral's name for it is "long non-coding RNA NONRATT019897". Lineage: Eukaryota; Metazoa; Chordata; Mammalia; Rodentia; Muridae. The record is from RNAcentral.